UGUCGUCUCUGUCGUUUUUGUCGUCGUUCGCCGCAACGAGAGCGCGUUCCUCGAAACGAGCGUCGUCGUCCUUCUCGUUCUCGUUUUUCUCUUCUUCUUCUUUUUCCUCCUAUUAUUCUGCA
RNAcentral lists this non-coding RNA (122 nucleotides) under Bathycoccus prasinos. Lineage: Eukaryota; Viridiplantae; Chlorophyta; Mamiellophyceae; Mamiellales; Bathycoccaceae. The record is from RNAcentral.